Molecule: ribosomal RNA, 460 nt
Filed under: uncultured bacterium
Lineage: Bacteria
Description: partial 16S ribosomal RNA
Rfam family: Bacterial small subunit ribosomal RNA
Source: RNAcentral
CCUACGGGUGGCUGCAGUGAGGAAUAUUUGUCAAUGGGCGCGAGCCUGAACCAGCCAAGUAGCGUGAAGGAUGACUGCCCUACGGGUUGUAAACUUCUUUUAUAAAGGAAUAAAGUGAGGCACGUGUGCCUUUUUGUAUGUACUUUAUGAAUAAGGAUCGGCUAACUCCGUGCCAGCAGCCGCGGUAAUACGGAGGAUCCGAGCGUUAUCCGGAUUUAUUGGGUUUAAAGGGAGCGUAGAUGGGUUGUUAAGUCAGCGGUGAAAGUCUGUGGCUCAACCAUAGAAUUGCCGUUGAAACUGGGAGGCUUGAGUAUGUGUGAGGCAGGCGGAAUGCGUGGUGUAGCGGUGAAAUGCUUAGAUAUCGCGCAGAACCCCGAUUGCGAAGGCAGCCUGCCAGGCCAUGACUGACGCUGAUGCACGAAGGCGUGGGGAUCGAACAGGAUUAGAUACCCCAGUAGUC